UACAGAGGGGGCAAGCGUUAUUCGGAAUUACUGGGCGUAAAGCGUGCGUAGGCGGUGAUGUAAGACAGAUGUGAAAUCCCCGGGCUCAACCUGGGAACUGCAUUUGUGACUGCAUCGCUGGAGUGCGGCAGAGGGGGAUGGAAUUCCGCGUGUAGCAGUGAAAUGCGUAGAUAUGCGGAGGAACACCGAUGGCGAAGGCAAUCCCCUGGGCCUGCACUGACGCUCAUGCACGAAAGCGUGGGGAGCAAACAGG
This 253-nucleotide ribosomal RNA is filed under the name uncultured bacterium. RNAcentral's name for it is "partial 16S ribosomal RNA". It matches the Rfam family "Bacterial small subunit ribosomal RNA", at positions 524 to 776 of the family's 1533-position model. The record is from RNAcentral.